GGCUCAGGACGAACGCUGGCGGCGUGCUUAACACAUGCAAGUUGAACGGUAUGACAUGGGAAGCUUGCUGAAGUGUCAUAUAGUAGCGGACGGGUGAGUAAUGCAUGAGAAGCUGCCAUUGGGAGGGGGACAACAGUUGGAAACGGCUGCUAAUACCCCGUAUGCCGGAAGGUGAAAGGGAGCGAUCCGCCCGAUGAGGUGCUCAUGUCCUAUCAGCUGGUUGGUGGGGUAACGGCCUACCAAGGCGACGACGGGUAGCCGGCCUGAGAGGGUGAACGGCCACACUGGAACUGAGAUACGGUCCAGACUCCUACGGGAGGCAGCAGGUGGGGAAUUAAUUGGGCAAGUGGGGGCAACCCUGACCCAGCGACGCCGCGGUGGGGGAAGACGGCCUUCGGGUCGUAAACCUCUUUUGUACGGGAAGAAGGAAGUGACGGUACUGUACGAAUAAGUCCCGGCUAACUACGUGCCAGCCGCCGC
This 480-nucleotide ribosomal RNA is filed under the name uncultured bacterium. RNAcentral's name for it is "bacterial SSU rRNA". It matches the Rfam family "Bacterial small subunit ribosomal RNA", at positions 21 to 518 of the family's 1533-position model. The record is from RNAcentral.